RNAcentral lists this ribosomal RNA (59 nucleotides) under Alternaria citri. Its description in RNAcentral is "partial 28S ribosomal RNA". The record is from RNAcentral. Lineage: Eukaryota; Fungi; Ascomycota; Dothideomycetes; Pleosporales; Pleosporaceae.
UUUUGACCUCGGAUCAGGUAGGGAUACCCGCUGAACUUAAGCAUAUCAUAAGCGGAGGA